This 70-nucleotide transfer RNA is filed under the name Gadopsis marmoratus. RNAcentral's name for it is "tRNA-Gly". The record is from RNAcentral. Lineage: Eukaryota; Metazoa; Chordata; Actinopteri; Centrarchiformes; Percichthyidae.
AUCUUUCUAGUACAACUAAAUAUUAGUGACUUCCAAUCACCCGAUCUUGGUUAAAACCCAAGGAAAGAUA